This 250-nucleotide ribosomal RNA is filed under the name uncultured bacterium. RNAcentral describes it as "partial 16S ribosomal RNA". It matches the Rfam family "Bacterial small subunit ribosomal RNA", at positions 524 to 773 of the family's 1533-position model. The record is from RNAcentral.
AACGUAGGGGGCUAGCGUUGUUCGGAAUUACUGGGCGUAAAGCGCGUGUAGGCGGUUUAGUAAGUCAGGAGUGAAAUCCCUCGGCUCAACCGAGGAACUGCUUUUGAAACUACUAAACUUGAGUAUGGGCGGGGAGAGCGGAAUUCCCGGUGUAGCGGUGAAAUGCGUAGAUAUCGGGAAGAACACCAGUGGCGAAGGCGGCUCUCUGGACCAUCACUGACGCUGAGACGCGAAAGCGUGGGUAGCAAAC